GGGGAUGAUCGGUUUCGACGGCGGUAGUUAGUCGGAGGGAAGCGGGCCGAGGAUGUAGAGUCACCUCGAUAACGCUCUCUGCAAACCAAUAGGUGCCAAGAACAAGAGCACCGAUUUCGCCCUCGCUGCCUAAGCUAAGCGACCUGCGAAAUCUGCUGAACUAGGUGCGCUUUCCGCCUAGACCUCAGCAUCGUUGAGAAAGCCACUGGUGAGUACGUUUGCUACGGGCGUGCUCGCGACACCAACAUAGAUAGGUUCGUCAGGGCCUGGUUCGUGUGGAACCCUGGAGCCGAAAACAACUAUCAACGAACUGCGCCCGGAGAAUACUCCUUUGGCUAUCGUCGGACCCGGGUUCGAUUCCCGGCAUCUCCACCU
Molecule: non-coding RNA, 375 nt
Organism: Actinotignum schaalii
Lineage: Bacteria; Bacillati; Actinomycetota; Actinomycetes; Actinomycetales; Actinomycetaceae
Source: Rfam